Molecule: ribosomal RNA, 429 nt
Filed under: Bacillota bacterium
Lineage: Bacteria; Bacillati; Bacillota
Description: Firmicutes bacterium partial 16S ribosomal RNA
Rfam family: Bacterial small subunit ribosomal RNA
Source: RNAcentral
UGGGGAAUCUUGCGCAAUGCGCGAAAGCGUGACGCAGCAACGCCGCGUGGGGGAAGAAGGCCUUCGGGUUGUAAACCCCUUUCAGUUGGGACGAAGCUUCGCCGGUGAAUAGCCGGCUGGAGUGACGGUACCUUCACAAGAAGCCCCGGCUAACUACGUGCCAGCAGCCGCGGUAAUACGUAGGGGGCUAGCGUUGUCCGGAAUCAUUGGGCGUAAAGCGCGUGUAGGCGGUCCGGUAAGUCCGCUGUGAAAGUCGGGGGCUCAACCCUCGAAAGCCGGUGGAUACUGUUGGGCUUGAGUACGGAAGAGGCGAGUGGAAUUCCUGGUGUAGCGGUGAAAUGCGCAGAUAUCAGGAGGAACACCAAUUGCGAAGGCAGCUCGCUGGGACGUUACUGACGCUGAGACGCGAAAGCGUGGGGAGCAAACAGG